Molecule: long non-coding RNA, 320 nt
Organism: Centruroides sculpturatus (bark scorpion)
Lineage: Eukaryota; Metazoa; Arthropoda; Arachnida; Scorpiones; Buthidae
Exons: 2
Source: RefSeq, a predicted model, not a curated record
AAGAAUGAUCCUAUGCAGAUUUUUACAGAUUGAUACAUUAUUAAAUCAGAUAGCACAGCAGUUUUCUCUAGGUUUUGAGUAAUAUACUGCCUCUUUCCUUUCUGUGCUUCUGCUGAAGAAGAACUGUGAAUUAGAACAGUUCAAAAUUCAUGUGAUGUAAUUGAAUUCUCUUCUAUUAAUAAAAAAAGGACCAUUGAGAAGAUUGAGAUCAGAGUUAGAAGAAAACAUGGCGAUAAGCGACGAGAAAUGGGAGGAUUUACCAACUUAUAAUGAAGUUGUAUUGGGGAUGUAUAAAUUUUGUAUAAAAAAUAUCGAAGAUA